RNAcentral lists this transfer RNA (62 nucleotides) under Desmophyllum pertusum. RNAcentral's name for it is "Lophelia pertusa tRNA". It matches the Rfam family "tRNA". Rfam says of the family: Transfer RNA (tRNA) molecules are approximately 80 nucleotides in length. Their secondary structure includes four short double-helical elements and three loops (D, anti-codon, and T loops). Further hydrogen bonds mediate the characteristic L-shaped molecular structure. tRNAs have two regions of fundamental functional importance: the anti-codon, which is responsible for specific mRNA codon recognition, and the 3' end, to which the tRNAs corresponding amino acid is attached (by aminoacyl-tRNA synthetases). tRNAs cope with the degeneracy of the genetic code in two manners: having more than one tRNA (with a specific anti-codon) for a particular amino acid; and 'wobble' base-pairing, i.e. permitting non-standard base-pairing at the 3rd anti-codon position. The record is from Rfam by way of RNAcentral. Lineage: Eukaryota; Metazoa; Cnidaria; Anthozoa; Scleractinia; Caryophylliidae.
GCCUCGGUAGCUCAGUGGUUAGAGCACCUUCCAUGACAUGGGUUCGAAUCCCACUCGGAGCA